AGUGAACGCUGGCGGUAGGCCUAACACAUGCAAGUCGAACGGCAGCACAGUAAGAGCUUGCUCUUACGGGUGGCGAGUGGCGGACGUGUGAGGAAUACAUCGGAAUCUACUUUUUCGUGGGGGAUAACGUAGGGAAACUUACGCUAAUACCGCAUACCACCUACGGUUGAAAGCAGUGGAUCUUCGGACCUUGCGCGAUUGAAUGAGCCGAUGUCGGAUUAGCUAGUUGGCGGGGUAAAGGCCCACCAAGGCGACGAUCCGUAGCUGGUCUGAGAGGAUGAUCAGCCACACUGGAACUGAGACACGGUCCAGACUCCUACGGGAGGCAGCAGUGGGGAAUAUGGGACAAUGGGCGCAAGCCUGAUCCAGCCAUACCGAGUGGGUGAAGAAGGCCUUCGGGUUGUAAAGCCCUUUUGUUGGGAAAGAAAAGCAGCAGGUUAAUACCCCGCUGUUCUGACGGUACCCAAAGAAUAAGCACCGGCUAACUUCGUG
RNAcentral lists this ribosomal RNA (492 nucleotides) under uncultured bacterium. RNAcentral describes it as "partial 16S ribosomal RNA". It matches the Rfam family "Bacterial small subunit ribosomal RNA", at positions 29 to 507 of the family's 1533-position model. The record is from RNAcentral.